This 385-nucleotide ribosomal RNA is filed under the name uncultured bacterium. RNAcentral's name for it is "bacterial SSU rRNA". It matches the Rfam family "Bacterial small subunit ribosomal RNA", at positions 29 to 416 of the family's 1533-position model. The record is from RNAcentral.
AUUAAACGCUGGCGGCAUGCCUUACACAUGCAAGUCGAACGGCAGCACGGGGGCAACCCUGGUGGCGAGUGGCGGACGGGUGAGUAAUACAUCGGAACGUGCCCUGGAGUGGGGGAUAACGCAGCGAAAGCUACGCUAAUACCGCAUAUUCUGUGAGCAGGAAAGCAGGGGAUCGCAAGACCUUGCGCUUUGGGAGCGGCCGAUGUCGGAUUAGCUAGUUGGUGGGGUAAAGGCCUACCAAGGCGACGAUCCGUAGCGGGUCUGAGAGGAUGAUCCGCCACACUGGGACUGAGACACGGCCCAGACUCCUACGGGAGGCAGCAGUGGGAAUUUUGGACAAUGGGCGCAAGCCUGAUCCAGCCAUGCCGCGUGAGUGAAGAAGGCC